UACGAGUGCCCCGAGCGUUAUCCGGAAUCAUUGGGCGUAAAGGGUGCGUAGGUGGUUUUGUUAGUCUCCUGUUAAAUUCUUCGGCUCAACCGGGGUUCUGCAGGGGAAACGGCAAGACUAGAGGGUGUGAGAGGUGUGUAGAACUCAUGGUGUAGGGGUGAAAUCCGUUGAUAUCAUGGGGAAUACCAAAUGCGAAGGCAGCACACUGGCACAUUCCUGACACUGAGGCACGAAAGCGUGGGUAUCGAACGGG
This 253-nucleotide unclassified non-coding RNA is filed under the name uncultured Parcubacteria group bacterium. RNAcentral's name for it is "contains 16S-23S intergenic spacer region". It matches the Rfam family "Bacterial small subunit ribosomal RNA", at positions 524 to 776 of the family's 1533-position model. The record is from RNAcentral.